This 2162-nucleotide long non-coding RNA is filed under the name Phasianus colchicus (ring-necked pheasant). Its description in RNAcentral is "lncRNA (ENSPCLG00000019779.1)". The record is from RNAcentral. Lineage: Eukaryota; Metazoa; Chordata; Aves; Galliformes; Phasianidae.
GGAGAUGUGGGGCAGGGGAGGGAGAUGUGGGGCAGGGGACGGAGCUGUGGGGCAGAAGACGAAUCCAUAGGGCAGAAAGAGAAGCCAUAGUGUGGAUACGUGGGGAGAUGUGGGGCACAGCUGUGGGGCACAGAGGUGACGUGGAGCGGCCGGACGCUAUGGGGCGGAUAUGGGGCAGAUGGGGGGGGGGGGGGGGGGCCGCAGGGCGCCCCCCCGCCCCCGGGGCGGGCGGCCGCCGCCCCCCCCCCCCCCCCACAACCCCACACCGACCUCCGCACCGCCGCCGUGGGUCCGCGGCUCCGGCCCCGCUAUGGGGCAGCCCUAGAGAUGUGGGGCAGGCAGGCGGUUAUGGGGCGGCCCCACGGAUGUGUGGGGCGGAGGCGGCCGCUNNNNNNNNNNNNNNNNNNNNNNNNNNNNNNNNNNNNNNNNNNNNNNNUCCCCCCUCCGGGCAGCGAUUUCCUGCAGGAAGUGAUGCGGCCCCACAGAGCCCUGCCCCACAGAUGUGGGGCUGCCCCAUAGAGCCCUGCCCCAUAGAUGUGGGGCUGCCCCAUAGAGCUCUGCCUCAUAGAGCCCUGCCCCAUAGAUGUGGGGCUGCCCCAUAGAGCCCUGCCCCAUAGAGCCCCGCCCCAUAGAUGUGGGGCUGCCCCAUAGAGCUCAGCUCCUUCAGCCCCACAACCCCGCGUCCGCCGCCCCACAUUUCCCGCCCCGCGCUCACUUCCGUCCGCGCCGCGCCGCACAACUUCCGGCUUCCGGUGGAGGGGACGGAACUUCCGGUGGCGGCACUUCCGGUUGGCGGCGCGAUGGAAAAAUCGCGAGCAGCGCCACCGGGCGGCGCGGAACCGAACAGCGCCGAGCGGCCAAAAAACCCAAAUCCCAUAAAACCCCAAAUUUAGGGACCCCAAAAACCCCAAAUCCCAAUUUUAGGGACCCCAAAAACCCCAAAACCCCAAAAAAACCAAAUUUAGGGACCCCAAAUCCCACAAAAAUCCCAAAUUUAGGGACCCCCAAAACCCCAAAUCUCCCCAAAUCUUUAAUUUUAGGGACCCAAAAACCCCAAUUUCAGGAACCCAAAACCCCCAAUCCCCCCAAAACCCCAAAUUUAGGGNNNNNNNNNNNNNNNNNNNNNNNNNNNNNNNNNNNNNNNNNNCCCCAAAUCCCAUAAAAUCCCAAAGUUAGGGACCCCAAAAACCUCAAAUCCCACAAAACCCCAAAUUUAGGAACGCCAAAAACCCCAAAUUCCAUAAAAUCCCAAUUUUAGGGACUCCAAAACCCCAAAUCCCCAAAAACGCCAAAUUUAGGGACCCCAAAAACCCCAAAUCCCACGAAAACCCCAAAUUUAGGGAUCCAAAAACCCCAAAUCCUCACGAAAACCCAAAAUUUAGGGACCCCAAAACCCCAAAUCCCAUAAAAUCCCAAAUUUAGGGACCCCAAAAACCCCAAAUCCCACAAAAAUCCCAAAUUUAGGGACCCCAAAAACCCAAAUCCCACAAAAAUCCCAAAUUUAGGAACACCAAAAACCCCAAAUCCCACUAAAAUCCCGAUCUUAGGACCCCAAAAACCCCAAAUCCCACAAAAACUCCAAAUUUAGGGACCCAAAAACCCCAAAUCCUCACGAAAACCCCAAUUUUAGGGACCCCAAAACCCCCAAAUUCCCCCUAAAACCCCAAUUUUAGGGACUCCAAAACCCCAAAUCCCCAAAAACGCCAAAUUUAGGGACCCCAAAAACCCCAAAUCCCACGAAAAUCCCAAAUUUAGGGACCCAAAAUCCCCAAAUCCCAUAAAAACCCCAAAUUUAGGGACCACAAAUCCCACAAAACCCCAAAUUUAGGGACCCCAAAAACCCCAAAUCCCACUAAAAUCCCGAUUUUGGGACCCCAAAAACCUCAAAUCCCACGAAAAUCCCAAAUUUAGGGAUCCAAAAACUCCAAAUCCUCACGAAAACCCAAAAUUUAGGGACCCCAAAACCCCAAAUCCCAUAAAAUCCCAAAUUUAGGGACCCCAAAACCCCAAAUCCCACUAAAAUCCCGAUUUUAGGACCCCAAAAACCCCAAAUCCCACAAAAAAUCCCGAUUUGAGGGACCCCAAAUCCCCAAAAACGCCAAAUUUAGGGACCCCAAAACCCCAAAUCCCACAAAACCCCAAAUUUAGGGACCCAAAAACCC